RNAcentral lists this ribosomal RNA (193 nucleotides) under uncultured bacterium. Its description in RNAcentral is "partial 16S ribosomal RNA". It matches the Rfam family "Bacterial small subunit ribosomal RNA", at positions 1309 to 1500 of the family's 1533-position model. The record is from RNAcentral.
AACCCGACUACAUGAAGCUGGAAUCGCUAGUAAUCGCGAAUCAGAAUGUCGCGGUGAAUACGUUCCCGGGUCUUGUACACACCGCCCGUCACACCAUGGGAGUCGGAUAUGCCCGAAGCCGGUGACCUAACCGCAAGGGAAGGAGCCGUCGAAGGUGGAGCCGAUGACUGGGGUGAAGUCGUAACAAGGUAUC